UAAUAUUUGUGAUUUUUUUUUUCUCAGAGGUAACAUAAUGAUUUUAAAAUUCUUUUUCAGACUCCUUUCCUUUCUCAAAUUUGGAACAAGGAAACCAAUGUAGGAAAUUGAGAAGCUGCUGCCAAGGAGGUCUCUUGCUGGCUGAGCUGGAGAACACACUGCCAUUUCGGAGAACACAUCCCCUUCAGGAGCCGUGGUUUCAGCCAAUCCCCUGACAGUCUACACAAAGGCACAGUGGGGAGGAUUUAGAGAGGACAAGGCGGAACACAAGCUAAAAGCCCUGCUGACACACACU
This 295-nucleotide long non-coding RNA is filed under the name Fukomys damarensis (Damara mole-rat). RNAcentral describes it as "lncRNA (ENSFDAG00000030088.1)". Lineage: Eukaryota; Metazoa; Chordata; Mammalia; Rodentia; Bathyergidae. The record is from RNAcentral.